UACAGCGGGUGCAAGCGUUAAUCGGAAUUACUGGGCGUAAAGCGCGCGUAGGUGGUUUGUUAAGUUGGAUGUGAAAGCCCCGGGCUCAACCUGGGAACUGCAUCCAAAACUGGCAAGCUAGAGUACGGUAGAGGGUGGUGGAAUUUCCUGUGUAGCGGUGAAAUGCGUAGAUAUAGGAAGGAACACCAGUGGCGAAGGCGACCACCUGGACUGAUACUGACACUGAGGUGCGAAAGCGUGGGGAGCAAACAGG
This 253-nucleotide ribosomal RNA is filed under the name uncultured bacterium. Its description in RNAcentral is "partial 16S ribosomal RNA". It matches the Rfam family "Bacterial small subunit ribosomal RNA", at positions 524 to 776 of the family's 1533-position model. The record is from RNAcentral.